Molecule: transfer RNA, 66 nt
Filed under: Alnetoidia dujuanensis
Lineage: Eukaryota; Metazoa; Arthropoda; Insecta; Hemiptera; Cicadellidae
Description: tRNA-Asp
Source: RNAcentral
AAAGAUUUAGUUUAUAUAAAACAUAAAGUUGUCAAUUUUAAAAUAUUAAUUUAUUAAUAAUCUUUG